GUAGACUGGAUGCUUCUGUUGAGGAGA
This 27-nucleotide non-coding RNA is filed under the name Homo sapiens (human). Lineage: Eukaryota; Metazoa; Chordata; Mammalia; Primates; Hominidae. The record is from RNAcentral.